Molecule: transfer RNA, 76 nt
Filed under: Rhodogorgon sp.
Lineage: Eukaryota; Rhodophyta; Florideophyceae; Rhodogorgonales; Rhodogorgonaceae
Description: tRNA-Arg
Rfam family: tRNA
About the family: Transfer RNA (tRNA) molecules are approximately 80 nucleotides in length.
Source: RNAcentral
UGUGUUUAUAGCUUAAUUGGAUAAAGCAGUAAACUACGGAUUUAAAGAUUGAGAGUUCAAAUCUUUCUAAACACAG